GUAAUUUAAAAAAGUUGUGCCACAUCAGCACCAUGUCAGCAGCCACGUCAGCGGCCCGGUCAGCAGCCCCGGCCAACCAGGACGCGCCGCGUGGCAAGGAAACGCUGACCAGGGGACAGGCCACGUGGGCGAUCUGUGUGCGCGCGAUCGGACGACCCAGAUCCGUUCCCGCGCGCACGGACGGCCCAGAUCAAACAUGCGCACGGACGGCCCAGAUUCAAUCAGGCACGGACAGCUCAGAUUGCAUCGCGAUGGACGGUCCAGAUUUAAUCCUAAUUAAAUCACGAUCGAACGGUCUAGAUUUAAUCUUGAUGAACGGCUGAGAUUAAAAGAAAAAGGGUAUAAAUAACCCCACCCACACCUAACCAGAAAACCCUAGCCGCCAGUCCCUUGCCGAAGAAGAAGAACCAGACGCCGGAGGAACCAGCCGCCGCCGCACCGGGGAAGUUUCCGACCGCUUAUUGAGGUAAAAUUUCUCCUCCCUGCUCAUUUUUUGAUGCUGAGUCCGCCUAUGGCC
Molecule: long non-coding RNA, 517 nt
Filed under: Carica papaya (papaya)
Lineage: Eukaryota; Viridiplantae; Streptophyta; Magnoliopsida; Brassicales; Caricaceae
Description: long non-coding RNA (CPAP_LNC007235)
Source: RNAcentral